UGGCGCGGCCGGUCCCAGCGCGGCGGCCGCAGGUAGGGCGGCUCGUCCCGUCUGUGCCUGCGGGAGGCCGCUGCUCUUUGGUGGCGGGGGGCGGCGCGAGCGGGCGCGGGGCUCCGCGGGCGGCCGUUAACCGCCAUCCCUCUCGCCCAGGUGCCGGCGGCCGCCAUGAGCAGCGGGACGCGGGCCCGCAGCAGGAGGAGGGCAGCCCGCCCCAGCCCGCCUUCCCCCGCCAGCUCCGAGGGCGAGGAGCCCCUCAGUUCCUCCUCGUGCUCCCAGCUCUCCCCCGCUUCCCGGCACAGCUCCCGCAGCUGCGAGGAGGAGGAGGAAGAGGGGGAAGUGGCCUCCCAGAGCCAGAAAGGCAAUAGAAAGGCUGAAGACUCUGAAAUAACAGGGGGAAGAAAUCGUUCACCUUUGAAAGAUAGUCUUUCACCAUGGGAAGAAUGGUUCAUUUGCAAAGAGAAGGAACUACGUGCCCGCUUACAAGCUAGAGCUCUGGAGGAAAUUAAUCUACAGCUUGAGAAAAUGAAAGAAAAGCAAGAAUUUGAAAGAAGGAGAAGGAUAGCUGAAGAGAAGCACAAGGAAUGGGUGCAAAAAAAAAAAGAAGAGGUAAAUACUGCUUUGGUUGUAAAUAUUAUAGCACAUGCUGUGCUUUAGUAAACCUAUGUAAAAUUUGCCCAGGCUUUUUGAACAACCAUGUUUUUACUUUGCUGAAUAAUGGCUGUUUUAAUUGAAAAUUAUAAAAUCACAUCAACAGAGUUUAACAUUUUUCC
RNAcentral lists this long non-coding RNA (770 nucleotides) under Dromaius novaehollandiae (emu). RNAcentral's name for it is "lncRNA (ENSDNVG00000010248.1)". Lineage: Eukaryota; Metazoa; Chordata; Aves; Casuariiformes; Dromaiidae. The record is from RNAcentral.